GGGGCUGAUUCUGGAUUCGACGGGAUUUGCGAAACCCAAGGUGUAUGCCGAGGGUCGGUUGGCCUCAUAAAAAGCCGCAAAAAUCGAAAACUACGCUUUAGCAGCUUAAUAACCUGCUCUGAGUCCUCUCUCACUAGCUUCCGCUCUUAAGACGGGGAUCAAAGAGAGGUCAAACCCAAAAGAGAUCGCGUGGAUGCCCUGCCUGGGGGGGAAGCGUUAAAACUAAUCAGGCUAGUCUGGUAGUGGCGUGUCUGUUCGCAGGUGCCAGGCGAAUGUAAAGACUGACUAAGCAUGUAGUACCGAGGAUGUAGUAAUUUCGGACGCGGGUUCAACCCCCGCCAGCCCACUU
This 349-nucleotide transfer-messenger RNA is filed under the name Salmonella enterica. It matches the Rfam family "transfer-messenger RNA". From Rfam's summary of the family: Bacterial tmRNA, also known as 10Sa RNA or SsrA, is named for its dual tRNA and mRNA-like properties. Its role is to liberate the mRNA from a stalled ribosome. RNAcentral also lists the same sequence under 1 other name. The record is from RNAcentral. Lineage: Bacteria; Pseudomonadati; Pseudomonadota; Gammaproteobacteria; Enterobacterales; Enterobacteriaceae.